RNAcentral lists this unclassified non-coding RNA (217 nucleotides) under Hevea brasiliensis (rubber tree). The record is from RNAcentral. Lineage: Eukaryota; Viridiplantae; Streptophyta; Magnoliopsida; Malpighiales; Euphorbiaceae.
AUACAUCCCAAGCACACACACUGACAAAAAGCAGUAUAAUGCCUUGCUGCAAGCUAAAGUUCUAUAUUUCCAGGGUAACAAACAUUACACCAAAGAUUGAAAUAUAUGUAUUGGAUUUUUAAUCGAGAAACACUUGGCAUAUACAAAUGCUUUCGUGUGCAAGUGUCAGCAUUAGAUUGUCUAAAUAUUCACCUAUACCACAAGUUUGUUCAUUGAU